This 23-nucleotide microRNA is filed under the name Panagrellus redivivus. RNAcentral describes it as "prd-miR-7911b-5p". The record is from miRBase by way of RNAcentral. Lineage: Eukaryota; Metazoa; Nematoda; Chromadorea; Rhabditida; Panagrolaimidae.
GCCCCCCGGAUGAUGCACCAUCG